This 330-nucleotide ribosomal RNA is filed under the name uncultured bacterium. RNAcentral's name for it is "bacterial SSU rRNA". It matches the Rfam family "Bacterial small subunit ribosomal RNA", at positions 568 to 898 of the family's 1533-position model. The record is from RNAcentral.
UCCGUAGGCGGUGUGGCAAGUCGGAAGUGAAAUCUCUGGGCUUAACUCAGAGGCUGCUUCCGAAACUGCCGUGCUAGAGUGCGAGAGAGGCAAGUGGAAUUGCGGGUGUAGCGGUGAAAUGCGUAGAUAUCCGCAGGAACAUCCGAGGCGAAAGCGGCUUGCUGGAUCGCAACUGACGCUGAGGGACGAAAGCUAGGGGAGCAAACAAGAUUAGAUACCCUGGUAGUCCUAGCCCUAAACCAUCAGGACUUGGGGUUUGCCCUGUACGGGGCAAGUCCCGUAGCUAACGCGUUAAGUCCUGCGCCUGGGGAGUACGGUCGCAAGGCUGAA